This 442-nucleotide ribosomal RNA is filed under the name uncultured bacterium. RNAcentral describes it as "partial 16S ribosomal RNA". It matches the Rfam family "Bacterial small subunit ribosomal RNA", at positions 338 to 795 of the family's 1533-position model. The record is from RNAcentral.
CCUACGGGAGGCAGCAGUGGGGGAUAUUGCACAAUGGGGGAAACCCUGAUGCAGCGACGCCGCGUGGGCGAAGAAGUAUUUCGGUAUGUAAAGCCCUAUCAGCAGGGAAGAAGAAAUGACGGUACCAGAGUAAGAAGAACCGGCUAAAUACGUGCCAGCAGCCGGGGUAACACGUAGGGUGCAAGCGUUAUCCGGAGUUACUGGGGGUAAAGGGAGCGCAGGCGGCACGGCAAGCCUGAUGUGAAAGCCCGGCGCCCAACCGCGGGACUGCAUUGGGAACAACCGGGCUGGAGUGCCGGAGAGGUAGGCGGAAUUCCUAGUGUAGCGGUGAAAUGCGUAGAUAUUAGGAGGAACACCAGUGGCGAAGGCGGCCUACUGGACGGUAACUGACGCUGAGGCUCGAAAGCGUGGGGAGCAAACAGGAUUAGAUACCCUUGUAGUC